CCUACGGGUGGCUGCAGUGGGGGAUAUUGCACAAUGGGGGAAACCCUGAUGCAGCGACGCCGCGUGUGGGAAGACGGUCCUCUGGAUUGUAAACCACUGUCCCCAGGGACGAAGAUGACGGUACCUGGGGAGGAAGCUCCGGCUAACUACGUGCCAGCAGCCGCGGUAAUACGCAGGGAGCGAGCGUUGUCGGGAAUUACGGGGUGUAAGGGGAGCGUAGGCGGGGAUGCAAGUUGGGUGUCAAAACUACCGGCUAAACUGGUAGUCGCACUCGAAACUGGAGCUCUUGAGUGAAGUAGAGGCAGGCGGAAUUCCUGGUGUAGCGGUGAAAUGCGUAGAGAUUAGGAGGAACACCAGUGGCGAAGGCGGCCUGCUGGGCGUUUACUGACGCUGAGGCUCGAAAGUGUGGGGAGCAAACAGGAUUAGAUACCCCAGUAGUC
Molecule: ribosomal RNA, 440 nt
Filed under: uncultured bacterium
Lineage: Bacteria
Description: partial 16S ribosomal RNA
Rfam family: Bacterial small subunit ribosomal RNA
Source: RNAcentral